This 497-nucleotide ribosomal RNA is filed under the name uncultured bacterium. Its description in RNAcentral is "partial 16S ribosomal RNA". It matches the Rfam family "Bacterial small subunit ribosomal RNA", at positions 28 to 507 of the family's 1533-position model. The record is from RNAcentral.
GAUGAACGCUGGCGGCGUGCCUAAUACAUGCAAGUCGAGCGAACGGACGAGAAGCUUGCUUCUCUGAUGUUAGCGGCGGACGGGUGAGUAACACGUGGAUAACCUACCUAUAAGACUGGGAUAACUUCGGGAAACCGGAGCUAAUACCGGAUAAUAUUUUGAACCGCAUGGUUCAAAAGUGAAAGACGGUCUUGCUGUCACUUAUAGAUGGAUCCGCGCUGCAUUAGCUAGUUGGGAAGGUAACGGCUUACCAAGGCAACGAUGCAUAGCCGACCGGACAGGGUGAUCGGCCACAUGGGAACUGAGACACGGUCCAGACUCCUACGGGAGGCAGCAGUAGGGAAUCGUCCGCAAUGGGCGAAAGCCUGACGGAGCAACGCCGCGUGAGUGAUGAAGGUCUUCGGAGCGUAAAACUCUGUUAUUAGGGAAGAACAUAUGUGUAAGUAACUGUGCACAUCUUGACGGUACCUAAUCAGAAAGCCACGGCUAACUACGUG